CGGCGUAACCUCUCCGCCGUCGCUGGCCAAAAACCCCUCAUCGCCGGUGGAGACUCUCGACUCUGACUUCGUAGCGAUCCUCGCAGCUCUCCUCUGUGCCCUAAUCUGCGUGCUAGGCCUCGUUGCUGCCGCACGCUGCGCAUGGAUACGCUCGCAUUGCCAACGACACCGCGACGAUCGGCCGCCAACAAAGGUCUGAAGAAAAAGGUGCUGAAGUCACUUCCGAAGCUGACCUACGGCGA
RNAcentral lists this long non-coding RNA (242 nucleotides) under Salvia miltiorrhiza (redroot sage). Its description in RNAcentral is "long non-coding RNA (SMIL_LNC009973)". The record is from RNAcentral. Lineage: Eukaryota; Viridiplantae; Streptophyta; Magnoliopsida; Lamiales; Lamiaceae.